AUAAACUCUUUUAGCCCGUAAAAUAACUUACCAUGAAAAAAUAGAGAAUUCAUUUUACGAACCAACUGCAUCCCAUGUUUCUUUGCCUUUGAUCUCCUUCAUUCUCCGAUCAACUAUCAUCUUCUUGUCACCAACAACAAAAUCAACAGAUUUUUCCAGCAAAAUCAAGGGAGGAACUCUAGGAUUCUAAGAUUACCAUUUAAGAGGUCGAACUCAACUUUUAGGGGAACCCAGCUUUUAGAGUCUAAACCAUUUCCAGAUUACCAUUCGUCGGAUUCUACUCGCUCGCAAAGCGGAGUCCGGUUGUUUUCGACUUAUCGCCGAAUUGUCGAACUCAGCUUUUAGAGUCUAAACCAUUUCCAGAUUACCAUUCGUUGGAUUCUACUCGCUCGCAAAGCGGAGUCCGGUUGUUAUCGUCGACUUGGAAAAAAACUUCAGCUUGACAUUAAAUAUGCAAGGGAAGUGCCCCAAAAAUAGCCGUCAACUUGGCAUAUAUCAGAUUUGAUCUUGAAGUUAACCAUCUACAACACCACCUUGAUUAUCACCAUCAUAGGCACGCACUACUGGGAUCUUCAGUAGCAGCUGUUUGAUAUUGGAUGCUAGCUGCAUUAGCAUCAUCGUCACCACAUUCGGAUACCGAGCUAUGUUGGUGGGUCCAUGAGAUGAAGCAUAAGAAGAAGCAGAGGCUGCAGCAGCUCUAUCAGCGCUCCGUUUAAGCCUACGAAUGUGAUUAAGAAUCAAAACACACUCGUUAAGGGCAAGCUCAAUGCCACAGUUUGCUUUCAUAGCUGAAAGCUUCUCCCAAGUGCGUCUUCUCCCUUGGUUGACUCCCUUUUGAAGCGCAUCACCAUUGCUGCCAACCAGAAUAGAACCAUCGACCAGCUGGUUUAAGCGCAACGUGCACAACCACAAUGGAGUAUGAGGUUGGCUUGCCUCUUUUAUAUCAUAUGAUAUUGUUAAGUGUGAUGGCUUGUUGCCAACAAGCCAUUGCUUCAGU
Long non-coding RNA from Hibiscus syriacus, 997 nucleotides. RefSeq lists it as uncharacterized. The transcript is spliced from 4 exons. NCBI's taxonomy places the organism in Eukaryota, Viridiplantae, Streptophyta, Magnoliopsida, Malvales, Malvaceae. The record is from RefSeq and is a predicted model, not a curated record.